AGAGGUGUAGCUCAGUUGGUAGAGCAACGGUCUCCAAAACCGUAUGUCGUGAGUUCGAUUCUCUCCACCUCUG
The sequence is a transfer RNA, 73 nucleotides long. It matches the Rfam family "tRNA". Rfam says of the family: Transfer RNA (tRNA) molecules are approximately 80 nucleotides in length. Their secondary structure includes four short double-helical elements and three loops (D, anti-codon, and T loops).